This 918-nucleotide long non-coding RNA is filed under the name Pan troglodytes (chimpanzee). RNAcentral describes it as "long non-coding RNA NONPTRT013906". The record is from RNAcentral. Lineage: Eukaryota; Metazoa; Chordata; Mammalia; Primates; Hominidae.
GCGUGGCUCACGUGUUGGGAGGUCGUUGUCUGCGUGGCUCACGUGUUGGGAAGUUGCAGUGGUCUGUGUGGCUUGCGUGUUGGAAGGUUGCAGUCUGUGUGGCCCGUGUGUUGGGAGGUUGUGGCUGCGUGGCUUGUGUGUUGGGAGGUUGUGGUUCACGUGGCUUGCAUGUUGGGAAGUUGCUGUGGUCUGCGUGGCUUAUGUGUUGGGAGGUUGUGGUUUGUGUGGCUUGUGUGUUGGGAGGUUGCAGUCUGCGUGGCUCGUGUGUUGGGAAGUUGCUGUGGUCUCUGUGGCUUAUGUGUUGGGAAGUUGCUGUGGUUUGCGUGGCUCGUGUGUUGGGAGGUUGCAGUUUGCGUGGCUUGCGUGUUGGGAAGUUGCUGUGGUCUGUGUGGCUUAUGUGUUGGGAGGUUGUGGGUUUGUGUGGCUCACGUGUUGGGAGGUUGUGGUCUGCGUGGCGCACGUGUGGGGCGGUUGCGGUCUGCGUGGCUCACGUGUGGGGCGGUUGUGGUCUGCGUGGCUCACGUGUUGGGCGGUUGUCUGCUUGGCUCACGUGUUGGGAAGUUGUGGUCUGCUUGGCUCAUGUGUUGGGAAGUUGUUUAUGUGGCUUGUGUGCUGGAGGUUGUGGUCUGCGUGGCUCAUGUGUUGGGCGGUUGUCUGCUUGGCUCACGUGUUGGGAAGUUGUGGUCUGCGUGGCUUAUGUGUUGGGAAGUUGUUUAUGUGGCUUGUGUGCUGGAGGUUGUGGUCUGCGUGGCUUGCACUGUAGUUCUUUUGGACAGCCUUGUUCUGCAGUCUGUGCUUCAGCCCUGGAAUUGCCACAUUCUCCAAGAAGCCCUGGUUUCUUGACUAGAGAGCCUUGUUUAGAAGCCAGGACCUGGGUUCUGGGUGAAGCCCUCUGCAGAUAGAGCUGGGAGAUGGCUG